CUUCAGUCUCCGCAAUUAAGUCGUACAGCAGGCAUGCCCCCUGUUGCAGCUGCGCUGUCAAUCUCAUUUUGAAGCACAAAUGAUCUUAGACCCAGUGUUUGACAUGGGGUUUUAACACCAAAGAAGGCAAUUCUGCAACUUCAAAUGAGCCUAAUUGGCUGAGCGCUCGGGCGUUCACUCAAGCUGCUUCAGUCCAUCAGAGAGAGAUUUCCCGCUAAUUGAACUGCUCAGAAGGAAAAGGACCACGAGGAAUCACGAGGUGCCGAACCAUUGGAGAGGGUGGUAUACAUUUUUUUCAUGAUAGCAAACUUAAAGAUACAUUCCUCCUCCUUAAUCAGCCACCUGUCAACAUAAAAAAGGAUGUUGACAUCUUUGAAGAGCCCAGGCCAUUGUCCAGUACAAUUUUCACAAUCUGGCUUUAUCUAAUCAUUUCCUCAUGAAUGGACUCAGAUUAAACAUUUUUGUCAAGAAGGUUACCUAGGCUGUUGAAGAACGUGUCCGGGAAGACUGGAGGCUGUAUAAAUUGUUUCCUUUUUCCUUUCGAGAAACAACGUCAAAAAGAAAUGGCUGUGUUUCCUCCUGUCUACAUACAGAGAAACCCUUUGGAAAGUGGUGAAUUUUUCAGGGAGUGUCUUAAGCUUGAAAAGCAGGCAAUCAUAGGAUAGAAAUGUGAAAAGAUUUUCAGCUGGCAAUCCCAGAGGACUUGAUUUAUAAAUGUACUUCCUCUAUAUUUUGGAUUUAAUUUCCUAUCUUUUUGUCUAACCUGAAUGUUAAGAGUUGGGGGAAAAAUGGCCAAAUUCAAACACCUUUCUACUAUCCAAGAUUGAGGUUUCAC
This 835-nucleotide long non-coding RNA is filed under the name Equus caballus (horse). Its description in RNAcentral is "lncRNA (ENSECAG00000044836.1)". Lineage: Eukaryota; Metazoa; Chordata; Mammalia; Perissodactyla; Equidae. The record is from RNAcentral.